AGAGUUUGAUCCUGACUCAGAACGAACGCUGGCGGCGUGCCUAACACAUGCAAGUCCAACGUGAAAGGGGAGCAAUCCCCCGGUAGGGUGGCAAACGGGUGAGUAAUACAUGGGUGAUCUACCUUAGGGAUGGGGAUAUCCUUCCGAAAGGAGGGGCAAUACCGAAUAUUGUCCGGAGCCAUGAAGGGUUCCGGGGAAAGGGAGGCCUCUGAUACAAGCUUUCGCCUUAAGAUGAGCCCAUGGCCCAUCAGCUAGUUGGUAGGGUAAAGGCCUACCAAGGCUACGACGGGUCGCUGGUCUGAGAGGACGACCAGCCACACUGGCACUGAGAUACGGGCCAGACUCCUACGGGAGGCAGCAGUGAGGAAUAUUGCGCAAUGGGGGAAACCCUGACGCAGCAACGCCGCGUGUGGGAAGAAGGCCUUCGGGUCGUAAACCACUUUUGCACGGGACGAAAAAGGGAUAUCGAACAAAUAUCCCCGAUGACGGUACCGUGAGAAUAAGCCACGGCUAACUCUGUGCCAGCAGCCGCGGUAAGACAGAGGUGGCAAGCGUUGUUCGGAAUUACUGGGCGUAAAGAGUCUGUAGGUGGUUUGUCAAGUCUUUGGUGAAAGGCCGUAGCUUAACUAUGGGAAUGCCAAAGAGACUGGCAGGCUGGAGGCUGGGAGAGGGAAGCGGAAUUUCUGGUGUAGCGGUGAAAUGCGUAGAUAUCAGAAGGAAGGCCGGUGGCGAAGGCGGCUUCCUGGAACAGUCCUGACA
This 759-nucleotide ribosomal RNA is filed under the name uncultured bacterium. RNAcentral's name for it is "bacterial SSU rRNA". It matches the Rfam family "Bacterial small subunit ribosomal RNA", at positions 8 to 745 of the family's 1533-position model. The record is from RNAcentral.